Molecule: ribosomal RNA, 445 nt
Filed under: uncultured Pseudomonas sp.
Lineage: Bacteria; Pseudomonadati; Pseudomonadota; Gammaproteobacteria; Pseudomonadales; Pseudomonadaceae
Description: bacterial SSU rRNA
Rfam family: Bacterial small subunit ribosomal RNA
Source: RNAcentral
GCAUGUGGUUUAAUUCGAAGCAACGCGAAGAACCUUACCAGGCCUUGACAUGCAGAGAACUUUCCAGAGAUGGAUUGGUGCCUUCGGGAACUCUGACACAGGUGCUGCAUGGCUGUCGUCAGCUCGUGUCGUGAGAUGCUGGGUUAAGUCCGUAACGAGCGCAACCCUUGUCCUUAGUUACCAGCACGUUAUGGUGGGCACUCUAAGGAGACUGCCGGUGACAAACCGGAGGAAGGUGGGGAUGACGUCAAGUCAUCAUGGCCCUUACGGCCUGGGCUACACACGUGCUACAAUGGUCGGUACAAAGGGUUGCCAAGCCGCGAGGUGGAGCUAAUCCCAUAAAACCGAUCGUAGUCCGGAUCGCAGUCUGCAACUCGACUGCGUGAAGUCGGAAUCGCUAGUAAUCGUGAAUCAGAAUGUCACAGUGAAUACGUUCCCGGGCCUU